Molecule: ribosomal RNA, 452 nt
Filed under: uncultured organism
Description: partial 16S ribosomal RNA
Rfam family: Bacterial small subunit ribosomal RNA
Source: RNAcentral
UACACUCCUACGGGAGGCAGCAGUGGGGAAUAUUGGACAAUGGGCGCAAGCCUGAUCCAGCCAUGCCGCGUGAGUGAUGAAGGCCCUAGGGUUGUAAAGCUCUUUCACCGGUGAAGAUAAUGACGGUAACCGGAGAAGAAGCCCCGGCUAACUUCGUGCCAGCAGCCGCGGUAAUACGAAGGGGGCUAGCGUUGUUCGGAUUUACUGGGCGUAAAGCGCACGUAGGCGGACUAUUAAGUCAGGGGUGAAAUCCCGGGGCUCAACCCCGGAACUGCCUUUGAUACUGGUAGUCUUGAGUUCGAGAGAGGUGAGUGGAAUUCCGAGUGUAGAGGUGAAAUUCGUAGAUAUUCGGAGGAACACCAGUGGCGAAGGCGGCUCACUGGCUCGAUACUGACGCUGAGGUGCGAAAGCGUGGGGAGCAAACAGGAUUAGAUACCCCAGUAGUCCCAUGA